CCUACGGGUGGCAGCAGUGGGGAAUAUUGGACAAUGGGCGAAAGCCUGAUCCAGCCAUGCCGCGUGUGUGAAGAAGGCCUUCGGGUUGUAAAGCACUUUCAGUGGGGAAGAAAGCCUUGGGGCUAAUACCCUCGAGGAAGGACAUCACCCACAGAAGAAGCACCGGCUAACUCCGUGCCAGCAGCCGCGGUAAUACGGAGGGUGCGAGCGUUAAUCGGAAUUACUGGGCGUAAAGCGCGCGUAGGCGGUCUGAUAAGCCGGUUGUGAAAGCCCCGGGCUCAACCUGGGAACGGCAUCCGGAACUGUCAGGCUAGAGUGCAGGAGAGGAAGGUAGAAUUCCCGGUGUAGCGGUGAAAGGCGUAGAGAUCGGGAGGAAUACCAGUGGCGAAGGCGGCCUUCUGGACUGACACUGACGCUGAGGUGCGAAAGCGUGGGUAGCAAACAGGAUUAGAUACCCGUGUAGUC
Molecule: ribosomal RNA, 465 nt
Filed under: Vreelandella stevensii
Lineage: Bacteria; Pseudomonadati; Pseudomonadota; Gammaproteobacteria; Oceanospirillales; Halomonadaceae
Description: partial 16S ribosomal RNA
Rfam family: Bacterial small subunit ribosomal RNA
Source: RNAcentral